Molecule: ribosomal RNA, 664 nt
Filed under: Spalgis epius epius
Lineage: Eukaryota; Metazoa; Arthropoda; Insecta; Lepidoptera; Lycaenidae
Description: eukaryotic LSU rRNA
Rfam family: Eukaryotic large subunit ribosomal RNA
Source: RNAcentral
AUUCAUCGUCAUUCGGCGGCGUACGGGCGGAUGCCUCGAUGGGUGUGGUCGGUCUAUCGGCCGUUCUACGCUCACGGGCGACGUUCGUUUGCGUCCGUCGACGGCGUGCACUUCUCUCUUAGUAAUGCAUCGCGACCCGUUCGGGGUCGGUCUAAGCGCCGUCCGGGAGUCCGGCGGUGGGCGUCUCGGCGUCCGCCGUCGAACCGUGACCGGUUGCCGGCCGGCCGUUGCGGACGGUAACAAUGAUGGAAAUCGAAUACGCUUCACAAAGCGAAACGCGCACGCGUACCACGCGUCCGGCCCGACGCAAGCAGACGUCCGGUGUCGAUUUCCUGCCUAYGUGCGGACGUCGACUCGACGUCGCUGUCGUCUAGCUGCCGUGCAGUCUCGGACUGUGCGCGUCUCUGUCUGCGAUGAUUCUGUUUCGGGCACUCGCAGGACCCGUCUUGAAACACGGACCAAGGAGUCUAGCAUGUGUGCGAGUCAUUGAGUUCGAAUUCAAUUGAAAAAACUGAAAGGCGCAACGAAAGUGAAGGCGCGCGCUCGCCGCGCGCUCAGGGAGGAUGGAGCCUCGGUCUCGAUCGAACUCCCGCACUCCCGAGGCGUCUCGUUUCCAAUCCGUGAAUGCAGGCGCGCUCUGAGCACAGAUGCUGGGACCCGAAAG